Molecule: ribosomal RNA, 475 nt
Filed under: uncultured bacterium
Lineage: Bacteria
Description: partial 16S ribosomal RNA
Rfam family: Bacterial small subunit ribosomal RNA
Source: RNAcentral
AUUGAACGCUGGCGGCAGGCCUAACACAUGCAAGUCGAGCGGAUGAAGGGAGCUUGCUCCUGGACUCAGCGGCGGACGGGUGAGUAAUGCCUAGGAAUCUGCCUGGUAGUGGGGGAUAACGUCCGGAAACGGGCGCUAAUACCGCAUACGUCCUGAGGGAGAAAGUGGGGGAUCUUCGGACCUCACGCUAUCAGAUGAGCCUAGGUCGGAUUAGCUAGUUGGUGGGGUAAAGGCCUACCAAGGCGACGAUCCGUAACUGGUCUGAGAGGAUGAUCAGUCACACUGGAACUGAGACACGGUCCAGACUCCUACGGGAGGCAGCAGUGGGGAAUAUUGGACAAUGGGCGAAAGCCUGAUCCAGCCAUGCCGCGUGUGUGAAGAAGGUCUUCGGAUUGUAAAGCACUUGAAGUUGGGAGGAAGGGCAGUAAGUUAAUACCUUGCUGUUUUGACGUUACCAACAGAAUAAGCACCGGCU